GGCUUAUUGAAUUAUAAUUUUAAGUCUAUCUGCCCAAUGAUGUAAAAAAUUUAAUGGCUGCAGUAUAACUGACUGUACAAAGGUAGCAUAAUCAAUUGUUUUUUAAUUAAAAACUGGUAUGAAAGAAUUAAUGAGAUAUAUUCUGUCUCAUAUAUAUAUUAUAAAAUUAAAUUUUUAGUAAAAAUGCUAAAAUUAAUUUAUGGGACGAUAAGACCCUAUAGAAUUUUAUAUUGAUAUUUUAAUUAAAAUUAAUUUAAAAUAUUAAUAUUUUAUUGGGAGGAUAAAUAAAUUAAAAUAACUUUAUUUUAAAUUAAAACUUUAAUUUAAGAAUAUUUUUUUGAUCUUUUAUUAUGAAUUAUAAGAAUAAAUUACCUUAGGGAUAACAGCGUAAUAUCUUUUUAAAGAUCAUAUUGAUAAAGAUGGUUGCGACCUCGAUGUUGAAUUAAGAUAAAUUUUAAAUGGAGAAAUUUAAUAAUUAAGUCUGUUCGACUUUUAAUAUCUU
This 502-nucleotide ribosomal RNA is filed under the name Bombus neoboreus. Its description in RNAcentral is "partial 16S ribosomal RNA". The stretch from base 379 to 502 matches the Rfam family "Bacterial large subunit ribosomal RNA", at positions 2473 to 2597 of the family's 2925-position model. The record is from RNAcentral. Lineage: Eukaryota; Metazoa; Arthropoda; Insecta; Hymenoptera; Apidae.